Molecule: long non-coding RNA, 1127 nt
Filed under: Anser cygnoides (Swan goose)
Lineage: Eukaryota; Metazoa; Chordata; Aves; Anseriformes; Anatidae
Description: lncRNA (ENSACDG00005015103.1)
Source: RNAcentral
GUUUCUCUGUUACCAAACUAGGGUCUGAGUCUAAUCUCUGAGUAAUUCUGUACUGGUGUAAAGAAUAUUGAUUUCAGUGGUUUUAGUUUCAAUUUACACCACUGAAAGAAGGAUGUGACUGUGGACAUCAUUUCUCUGUUUCUGUUAUAUUAUUAUCUUAUUCUGGAAGAGUAUUAUCUACCUUUGUAAAACCUUUGGGAUGCAAUUUGUAUGAACCACACUAUACAUAAUAAAGUUGAAUUGUUAUGUUUUGACUUGCUUUAAAGAUAAAGCAGUAGAUUUUCAUCCCAGUCUUAACUAGAUCUCUCCCUUUGUAUUGAUUUCUUUAGGCAGCCAAGUGUGAAGAAUGUGGGAGAUGUCUGUAAUAGUUUAUUAAUAUUAUGUGUUCUAUUUGUUUGCCUGAUUAUUAUAGUUGUGUUUUUUCCUGCAGAUUACAAGGUGGUUAAUUCAAGCAGAGAGUCCUUUGGGCCAUAGAAUUCAUUCCCAAACUUAGAGAGUGCGGGUACUACAAAGCAUGGAAUUUACCUGUAACUACUCACGUUUCUCAACCUGGUUUAUAAAAUGCAGACGUUCCCUAAAUUCUAGGGUCACUCAGCUACUACAGAAGGAAUUUGGUCGGGGUACUCACUGAGAGGUGUGAAGGAACAAUUUUCACUGGAGCUCAUUUCUAAACUGCUGGCUUUGUGUAUACAUUGCUUGGUAUUUGCUAUUCAUAGCAUGCAACAGAUCACCUGAGCUUAAUGGUGUUGUUUCUGCUCCCUGACUAGAUGACUAAAAAUUUAUAAGACUAACCAAUGCUGUAUAAUGAACUUUAGAUGAGAUUUUCAUACCAAGCUAAAUCAAGCCAAAUUUGAAAAAACUUUCAAUACAUUAUCCAUGAAUACAAGAUAGAUGUCCAGUUACUCAUGAAAGAAUGAAAAAGAGACUUACAUAGAUCCACAGUCAGAACUAUACAUACAACCUCCUGAAAUCAGAUUGUGCUUUAUUAUCAAAAAGGCUCUUAUGUAACUUAAAUUUUGUCAUUUAAUUUCAGUCCCAAAUUACUGAUAUUAAAAGGAACACUGUUUUAAAAUAUGGCAAAGACAUUAGGAAAUAAAUUUAUGUGCAGUAUAUGGUACCUCUACUUA